Molecule: ribosomal RNA, 519 nt
Filed under: Penicillium chrysogenum
Lineage: Eukaryota; Fungi; Ascomycota; Eurotiomycetes; Eurotiales; Aspergillaceae
Description: eukaryotic LSU rRNA
Rfam family: 5.8S ribosomal RNA (bases 153-305)
Source: RNAcentral
ACCUCCCACCCGUGUUUAUUUUACCUUGUUGCUUCGGCGGGCCCGCCUUAACUGGCCGCCGGGGGGCUUACGUCCCCGGGCCCGCGCCCGCCGAAGACACCCUCGAACUCUGUCUGAAGAUUGUAGUCUGAGUGAAAAUAUAAAUUAUUUAAAACUUUCAACAACGGAUCUCUUGGUUCCGGCAUCGAUGAAGAACGCAGCGAAAUGCGAUACGUAAUGUGAAUUGCAAAUUCAGUGAAUCAUCGAGUCUUUGAACGCACAUUGCGCCCCCUGGUAUUCCGGGGGGCAUGCCUGUCCGAGCGUCAUUGCUGCCCUCAAGCACGGCUUGUGUGUUGGGCCCCGUCCUCCGAUCCCGGGGGACGGGCCCGAAAGGCAGCGGCGGCACCGCGUCCGGUCCUCGAGCGUAUGGGGCUUUGUCACCCGCUCUGUAGGCCCGGCCGGCGCUUGCCGAUCAACCCAAAUUUUUAUCCAGGUUGACCUCGGAUCAGGUAGGGAUACCCGCUGAACUUAAGCAUAUCA